AGCGAACGCUGGCGGCAGGCCUAACACAUGCAAGUCGAACGAACUCUUCGGAGUUAGUGGCGGACGGGUGAGUAACACGUGGGAACGUGCCUUUUGGUUCGGAAUAACUCAGGGAAACUUGUGCUAAUACCGAAUGUGCCCUUCGGGGGAAAGAUUUAUCGCCAUUAGAGCGGCCCGCGUCUGAUUAGCUAGUUGGUGAGGUAACGGCUCACCAAGGCGACGAUCAGUAGCUGGUCUGAGAGGAUGACCAGCCACACUGGGACUGAGACACGGCCCAGACUCCUACGGGAGGCAGCAGGGGGGAAUCUUGCGAAAGGGGAGAAAGCCUGACGCAGCAAUGCCGCGUGAAUGAUGAAGGUCUUAGGAUUGUAAAAUUCUUUCACCGGGGACGAUAAUGACGGUACCCGGAGAAGAAGCCCCGGCUAACUUC
RNAcentral lists this ribosomal RNA (430 nucleotides) under uncultured bacterium. RNAcentral describes it as "partial 16S ribosomal RNA". It matches the Rfam family "Bacterial small subunit ribosomal RNA", at positions 29 to 504 of the family's 1533-position model. The record is from RNAcentral.